GCCAGGUGUGGUGGUGUGCACCUGUAGUCCCAGCUACUUAGGAGGAGGAGGUGGGAGGAUCGCUUGAGCCCAGGAGUUCGAGGCUGCAGUGAGCUGUGAUCACGCCACUGUACUCCAGCCUGGGCAACAGAGCAAGACCCUAUCUCAA
Molecule: non-coding RNA, 148 nt
Filed under: Nomascus leucogenys (northern white-cheeked gibbon)
Lineage: Eukaryota; Metazoa; Chordata; Mammalia; Primates; Hylobatidae
Source: Rfam by way of RNAcentral